CAGCCGCCGCGGUAAUACGGAGGGUGCAAGCGUUAAUCGGAAUUACUGGGCGUAAAGCGCACGCAGGCGGUCUGACAAGUCAGAUGUGAAAUCCCCGGGCUUAACCUGGGAACUGCAUUUGAAACUGGCAGGCUAGAGUCUGGUAGAGGGGGGUAGAAUUUCCUGUGUAGCGGUGAAAUGCGUAGAUAUAGGAAGGAACACCAGUGGCGAAGGCGACCACCUGGACUGAUACUGACACUGAGGUGCGAAAGCGUGGGGAGCAAACAGGAUUAGAUACCCCAGUAGUCCCUGUCUCUUAUAC
Molecule: ribosomal RNA, 301 nt
Filed under: uncultured bacterium
Lineage: Bacteria
Description: partial 16S ribosomal RNA
Rfam family: Bacterial small subunit ribosomal RNA
Source: RNAcentral